AGCGAACGCUGGCGGCAGGCUUAACACAUGCAAGUCGAACGGGCGUAGCAAUACGUCAGUGGCAGACGGGUGAGUAACGCGUGGGAACGUACCUUUUGGUUCGGAACAACCCAGGGAAACUUGGGCUAAUACCGGAUAAGCCCUUACGGGGAAAGAUUUAUCGCCGAAAGAUCGGCCCGCGUCUGAUUAGCUUGUUGGUGAGGUAACGGCUCACCAAGGCGACGAUCAGUAGCUGGUCUGAGAGGAUGAUCAGCCACAUUGGGACUGAGACACGGCCCAAACUCCUACGGGAGGCAGCAGUGGGGAAUAUUGGACAAUGGGCGCAAGCCUGAUCCAGCCAUGCCGCGUGAGUGAUGAAGGCCCUAGGGUUGUAAAGCUCUUUUGUGCGGGAAGAUAAU
This 398-nucleotide ribosomal RNA is filed under the name Nitrobacter winogradskyi. Its description in RNAcentral is "bacterial SSU rRNA". It matches the Rfam family "Bacterial small subunit ribosomal RNA", at positions 29 to 452 of the family's 1533-position model. The record is from RNAcentral. Lineage: Bacteria; Pseudomonadati; Pseudomonadota; Alphaproteobacteria; Hyphomicrobiales; Nitrobacteraceae.